GAGGGUAUGGCUCAGUGGUAGAGCACAUGCUUAGCAUGCACAAGGCCCUGGGUUCAAUCCCCAGUACCUCCA
RNAcentral lists this transfer RNA (72 nucleotides) under Camelus bactrianus (Bactrian camel). It matches the Rfam family "tRNA". Rfam says of the family: Transfer RNA (tRNA) molecules are approximately 80 nucleotides in length. Their secondary structure includes four short double-helical elements and three loops (D, anti-codon, and T loops). The record is from Rfam by way of RNAcentral. RNAcentral also lists the same sequence under 2 other names. Lineage: Eukaryota; Metazoa; Chordata; Mammalia; Artiodactyla; Camelidae.